AACGUAGGUUCCGAGCGUUAUCCGGAUUUACUGGGCGUAAAGCGCGUUCAGGCGGUUUGGCAAGUCGGGCAUGAAAUCUCUCGGCUCAACCGGGAGAGGUUGUCCGAUACUGUUAGACUGGAGGGCAGUAGAGGGUGGUGGAAUUCCGGGUGUAGUGGUGAAAUGCGUAGAGAUCCGGAGGAACACCAGUGGCGAAAGCGGCCACCUGGACUGCACCUGACGCUGAAACGCGAAAGCUAGGGGAGCGAACAGG
This 253-nucleotide ribosomal RNA is filed under the name uncultured bacterium. Its description in RNAcentral is "partial 16S ribosomal RNA". It matches the Rfam family "Bacterial small subunit ribosomal RNA", at positions 524 to 776 of the family's 1533-position model. The record is from RNAcentral.